Molecule: ribosomal RNA, 540 nt
Filed under: Bacillus sp. (in: firmicutes)
Lineage: Bacteria; Bacillati; Bacillota; Bacilli; Caryophanales; Bacillaceae
Description: bacterial SSU rRNA
Rfam family: Bacterial small subunit ribosomal RNA
Source: RNAcentral
GUGCCUAUACAUGCAAGUCGAGCGGACAGAUGGGAGCUUGCUCCCUGAUGUUAGCGGCGGACGGGUGAGUAACACGUGGGUAACCUGCCUGUAAGACUGGGAUAACUCCGGGAAACCGGGGCUAAUACCGGAUGGUUGUCUGAACCGCAUGGUUCAGACAUAAAAGGUGGCUUCGGCUACCACUUACAGAUGGACCCGCGGCGCAUUAGCUAGUUGGUGAGGUAACGGCUCACCAAGGCGACGAUGCGUAGCCGACCUGAGAGGGUGAUCGGCCACACUGGGACUGAGACACGGCCCAGACUCCUACGGGAGGCAGCAGUAGGGAAUCUUCCGCAAUGGACGAAAGUCUGACGGAGCAACGCCGCGUGAGUGAUGAAGGUUUUCGGAUCGUAAAGCUCUGUUGUUAGGGAAGAACAAGUGCCGUUCAAAUAGGGCGGCACCUUGACGGUACCUAACCAGAAAGCCACGGCUAACUACGUGCCAGCAGCCGCGGUAAUACGUAGGUGGCAAGCGUUGUCCGGAAUUAUUGGGCGUAAAGGG